UCUAUAGGCGCUGAAGGAAUA
This 21-nucleotide non-coding RNA is filed under the name Rattus norvegicus (Norway rat). The record is from RNAcentral. Lineage: Eukaryota; Metazoa; Chordata; Mammalia; Rodentia; Muridae.